CCUACGGGUGGCAGCAGUGAGGAAUAUUGGUCAAUGGGAGAGAUCCUGAACCAGCCAAGCCGCGUGAGGGAAGACGGCCCUAUGGGUUGUAAACCUCUUUUGUCGGAGAACAAAACCCGGGACGUGUCCCGGACUGCGUGUAUCCGAAGAAAAAGCAUCGGCUAACUCCGUGCCAGCAGCCGCGGUAAUACGGAGGAUGCGAGCGUUAUCCGGAUUUAUUGGGUUUAAAGGGUGCGUAGGCGGUCCGUUAAGUCAGCGGUAAAAUUGCGGGGCUCAACCCCGUCGAGCCGUUGAAACUGGCAGACUUGAGUUGGCGAGAAGUACGCGGAAUGCGCGGUGUAGCGGUGAAAUGCAUAGAUAUCGCGCAGAACUCCGAUUGCGAAGGCAGCCUACUGGGCUUUAACUGACGCUGAGGCACGAAAGCGUGGGUAGCAAACAGGAUUAGAUACCCGUGUAGUC
RNAcentral lists this ribosomal RNA (459 nucleotides) under uncultured bacterium. Its description in RNAcentral is "partial 16S ribosomal RNA". It matches the Rfam family "Bacterial small subunit ribosomal RNA", at positions 338 to 795 of the family's 1533-position model. The record is from RNAcentral.